UGGGGAAUAUUGGACAAUGGGGGCAACCCUGAUCCAGCCAUGCCGCGUGAGUGAUGAAGGGCCUUCAGGGUUGUAAAGUCUCGUUUUGGCGGGGACGAUGAUGACGGUACCCGCAGAAUAAGCCCCGGCUAACUUCGUGCCAGCAGCCGCGGUAAGACGAAGGGGGCUAGCGUUGUUCGGAAUUACUGGGCGUAAAGCGAGUGUAGGCGGUUGCCGUAGUCAGGUGUGAAAGCCUUGAGCUCAACUCAAGAAAUGCACUUGAUACUGGGUGACUAGAGGACCGGAGAGGAUAGUGGAAUUCCCAGUGUAGUGGUGAAAUACGUAGAGAUUGGGAAGAAACACCAGUGGCGAAGGCGGCUAUCUGGACGGUUACUGACGCUAAGACUCGAAAGCGUGGGGAGCAAAACAGGAUUAGAUACCCUGGUAGUACCACGCCGUAAACGAUGGGUGCUAGACGUUGGCGAGCUUGCUCGUCAGUGUCGCAGCUAAACGCG
This 494-nucleotide ribosomal RNA is filed under the name uncultured bacterium. RNAcentral describes it as "partial 16S ribosomal RNA". It matches the Rfam family "Bacterial small subunit ribosomal RNA", at positions 355 to 859 of the family's 1533-position model. The record is from RNAcentral.